Long non-coding RNA from Oncorhynchus tshawytscha (Chinook salmon), 1598 nucleotides. RefSeq lists it as uncharacterized. Lineage: Eukaryota; Metazoa; Chordata; Actinopteri; Salmoniformes; Salmonidae. The transcript has 3 exons. The record is from RefSeq and is a predicted model, not a curated record.
GUAGCUGUAGGAAGCAGCGUGCAGCCAGAGCUGUAGCGCUGCCUGCUGGACGGUUUAAGCAUCUCUUUUUCGUCUCUUUCAACACAGUUUUGUUGUUGUAAAUAACAAUACGUUUUUUAUACAUAGAUCGUUAUCUAUACACUAAUUAACUACCUGUAAUUACUAAUAACCCAAUUACAUAUCCGUUAUACACUGUUUAUAAAGAGUACCUUAAUAUAAAAUCGUACUCAUUUUAAACUGGCCAAUAUAGGCAUACUGUGAUAUAAUUUAGACCAGCAGUAGAGAGUGCACUGUAUCCUAUCCUAUGACAGCAACAAACAAAAAAAACGAUCAGCACAUCAUCCCUUGAAGAGGUAGGCUAGAUAACCAGUUCUACCGAGUAAAUAAUUGUGUUUUGUGAAUCCAUUUGUGUUAUAUGACAAUGGAAAGACUUGUGGAGGAAACUUUCUAGCCUACUAUGAGAUAAAAUAUGUAGGGCAGGCCACAUGUCAUAUGAGGAAUGUUGGUGAUGCUGAUCCUAUUGUUUCUUGUUACCGACCUGAGGUCACAUGACUAGAACAUAGUUGUACUCACACAACCUAUCACACUCUUGUAUAAGAUAGGAUCACUUUUGACAGGAUUAUAGACAAUUUGCUACACAGUAUGAGGAACUUGUUGCACUUUGUGUUUGUUUGAGUUGCUUGCUGUACAGCCUGACGAUGUGGAUCACUAUACCUAUUGUGAGAGUUGCUUGACUACAGCCCAAGAAAUUGAGAGCAGAAGAAAGACACAGCAGAGUCCAGACGGGAUGUUAUUGAGAAGCUAGUCAGUGGUGCUGUGUACCAAGAUUUAGAUGCUAAAAUCCCCACUGAACACAUUUUAAUGUAACUAUGUUCAACUGUACCAACUCUGUUUAUUUAAUCUCCAAAAUUCUCUUAGAAUAAAGAUAUUUCUCAAUAUCAUGUUGUUUUAUGUUAUUGUAAUUUCUGCCAUACUAACUGACAAUGCAAUCAUUUGUAGGUUCACCCACUAAUGCAAUAUAUUGAUAAAGGAUGUGACAACUAUUAUCUUAAUGGUAUCAAGUGUUCAGCCAUCUGCCCUUUUCCAGAAACAUCCAUAUUGCGUUUCUCUCUGUCUCAUACAAAAUCCAUAUCUGAAUAAGCUAAGAAUUAACACAGUUGGAUUGAAGUAUAUGAAUUUGAAUGGGAUAUUAUUGAUUAUGCAUUAUACACUAUUUCAAAUUUGCUUUCAUUUGUAAAUUACAUUGUCAAAUCACUCAAUUUGAAUGUGAGUCAUGUAAUACUUUUACAGAUUCAAGAGAUAAUUAUGAUGACUGAAUAAUGAUUUAUUUCAGAAAUUCUGACAUAAAUAAAGAUGUAGUAUAUUUAAUUCAACUGCUAAUAAUAGUAGGUACAUUUCAUAUUCACAAAUGCAAAUGGUCUAAUUCAAAAACCUAACUUUUUUCACUUUAUAAAUGAGUUUAAACAAUAUGGCACUACUUACAUUAUUUUUUUUUAAGGCAUUUAAAAAUUGUAUUAUUAAUUAAUAUGAUUUGUUUGUUUAGGAUUCCUGGCAACGUAAAUAGUUUGUUUGUAUGCUUGUUUUCAUGUGACUAUUCC